CCUACGGGAGGCAGCAGUGGGGAAUAUUGCACAAUGGGGGAAACCCUGAUGCAGCGACGCCGCGUGAGUGAAGAAGUAUUUCGGUAUGUAAAGCACUAUCAGCAGGGAAGAAAAUGACGGUACCUGAUUAAGAAGCCCCGGCUAACUACGUGCCAGCAGCCGCGGUAAUACGUAGGGGGCAAGCGUUAUCCGGAUUUACUGGGUGGAAAGGGAGCGGAGACGGCAGCACAAGUCUGGAGUGAAAUGCCGGGGCUUAACCUCGGAACUGCUUUUGAAACUGUGCAGCUAGAGUGCAGGAGAGGUAAGUGGAAUUCCUGGUGUAGCGGUGAAAUGCGUAGAGAUUAGGAGGAACACCAGUGGCGAAGGCGGCUUACUGGACUGUAACUGACGUUGAGGCGCGAAAGCGUGGGGAGCAAACAGGAUUAGAUACCCGAGUAGUC
This 440-nucleotide ribosomal RNA is filed under the name uncultured bacterium. Its description in RNAcentral is "partial 16S ribosomal RNA". It matches the Rfam family "Bacterial small subunit ribosomal RNA", at positions 338 to 795 of the family's 1533-position model. The record is from RNAcentral.